AGGACGAACGCUGGCGGCGUGCUUAACACAUGCAAGUCGAGCGAUGAAGCUCCUUCGGGAGUGGAUUAGCGGCGGACGGGUGAGUAACACGUGGGUAACCUGCCUCAUAGAGGGGAAUAGCCUCUCGAAAGGAAGAUUAAUACCGCAUAAGAUUGUAGUACCGCAUGGUACAGCAAUUAAAGGAGUAAUCCGCUAUGAGAUGGACCCGCGUCGCAUUAGCUAGUUGGUGAGGUAACGGCUCACCAAGGCGACGAUGCGUAGCCGACCUGAGAGGGUGAUCGGCCACAUUGGGACUGAGACACGGCCCAGACUCCUACGGGAGGCAGCAGUGGGGAAUAUUGCACAAUGGGGGAAACCCUGAUGCAAGCAACGCCGCGUGAGUGAUGACGGUCUUCGGAUUGUAAAGCUCUGUCGUUUAGGGACGAUAAUGACGGUACCUAAGGAGGAAGCCACGGCUAACUACGUGCCAGCCGCAGC
RNAcentral lists this ribosomal RNA (477 nucleotides) under uncultured bacterium. RNAcentral's name for it is "bacterial SSU rRNA". It matches the Rfam family "Bacterial small subunit ribosomal RNA", at positions 26 to 518 of the family's 1533-position model. The record is from RNAcentral.